CUACGAGUCGGGUUGUUUG
RNAcentral lists this small nuclear RNA (19 nucleotides) under Arabidopsis thaliana (thale cress). RNAcentral describes it as "snRNA_08680". Lineage: Eukaryota; Viridiplantae; Streptophyta; Magnoliopsida; Brassicales; Brassicaceae. The record is from RNAcentral.